Small nuclear RNA from Pezoporus occidentalis (night parrot), 164 nucleotides. RefSeq annotates it as U1 spliceosomal RNA. The transcript has a single exon. The record is from RefSeq and is a predicted model, not a curated record. NCBI's taxonomy places the organism in Eukaryota, Metazoa, Chordata, Aves, Psittaciformes, Psittacidae.
GAACAUACCUGGCAGGGGAGACACCAUGAUCAAGCAGGUGGUUUUCCCAGGGAGAGGCUCAUCCCUUCCACUCCGGGUGUACUGACCCCUGUGAUUUCCCCAAAUGCGGGAAACUCAACUGCAUAAUUUGUGGUGGGGGGGGGACUGCAAUUUAUUUUUUUUUU